RNAcentral lists this ribosomal RNA (597 nucleotides) under uncultured bacterium. Its description in RNAcentral is "bacterial SSU rRNA". It matches the Rfam family "Bacterial small subunit ribosomal RNA", at positions 930 to 1531 of the family's 1533-position model. The record is from RNAcentral.
CGGUGGAUGAUGUUCUUUAAUUCGAUGCAACGCGAAAAACCUUACCCACCUUUGACAUGUACGGAAUCCUUUAGAGAUAGAGGAGUGCUCGAAAGAGAGCCGUAACACAGGUGCUGCAUGGCUGUCGUCAGCUCGUGUCGUGAGAUGUUGGGUUAAGUCCCGCAACGAGCGCAACCCUUGCCAUUAGUUGCUACGAAAGGGCACUCUAAUGGGACUGCCGGUGACAAACCGGAGGAAGGUGGGGAUGACGUCAAGUCCUCAUGGCCCUUAUAGGUGGGGCUAGAAACGUCAUACAAUGGCCGGUACAAAGGGUCGNUAAGCCGCGAGGUGGAGCCAAUCCCAUAAAGCCGGUNGUAGUCCGGAUCGCAGUNUGCAACUCGANUGCGUGAAGUCGGAAUCGCUAGUAAUCGUGGAUCAGCAUGUCACGGUGAAUACGUUCCCGGGUCUUGUACACACCGCCCGUCACACCAUGGGAGNGGGUCUCGCCAGAAGUAGGUAGCCUAACCGCAAGGAGGGCGCUUACCACGGCGGGGUUNGUGACUGGGGUGAAGUCGUAACAAGGUAGCCGUAUCGGAAGGUGCGGCUGGAUCACCUCCU